Astatotilapia calliptera (eastern happy) is the source of this 2456-nucleotide long non-coding RNA. NCBI's taxonomy places the organism in Eukaryota, Metazoa, Chordata, Actinopteri, Cichliformes, Cichlidae. The record is from Ensembl.
AAAGUGCUUUACACAACCAGUCAUCCACCCAUUCACACACACUGGUGAUGGCAAGCUACAUUGUAGCCACCCUGGGGCGCACUGACAGAGGUGAGGCUGCCAGACACUGGCGCCACCGGGCCCUCUGACCACCACUAGUAGGCAACGGGUGAAGUGUCUUGCCCAAGGACACAACGACCGAGACUGUCCGAGCCGGGGCUCGAACCGGCAACCUUCCGGUUACAAGACAAACUCCCAACUCUUGAGCCACGAUCGCCCCGUUGUAACAUAUUGGCAGUCUUUUUUUUUUCUUUUUUUUUUUGAAAUGCCUGGCACUAUGACACAAAACAAACAGCACCCUGAUUGUAACGUCACGGCAGGUUUUUUAGUCUCAGGGAACAGCCGUAUUUGUGUACAGUGGGUGGGGUCAAUGUUGGAAAAAUGCUCUCAGGUUGCAUCAGUGUUUAAGAAUGUAUCUUAUGCGAAGGUCAGAGAGUAGAGGGGGGGUCAGGAGACUGGAAAAAAGCAGGGUGUGUUAAAAGUGAUUGAUUCUGCUGUGAUGAGCAGAAAGAAAAUCAAGUGUACAAUCAGAGGAAAGGGCAAUUUAAAAAUAGAUAGCAGACUGGAAUCUCAGGUUUACCUGAAGGCAUUACAAGUUCUGACACACCUUUCUCAGCUCUUCUGGAAUCUGGUAUGAAAUAAGAAACAGUUGUAAGUCUGUGCAUUAUGUAUCAGUGCGACUACUGAGGAAGAGAAAGGAAAAUCUAAACUGAAAUAAAAUAUGAGAACUAACGCAACACUGUGAGGUAAUAACAAGCUGACACAUUUUAUGAGUGGGAGUGGAGACGGGGGGGAAAGAGGGCAGGGCAGUAAAGGGGAAAUGGGAGUGGAAGUCGCAAACAGAGUUUCACCAAAGGCUAUUCUUCCUGUCAUUCAACAGCUUGUGUAGAACAGGAACAGAUCAGGUUUAUGUCGUCUCUCUACAAUCACAGUAGCGCUCUUUGGAUGUCCAUUUGUAAAUAUUUAACUGAAAUCUUCACAUAUUAAAGGAAGGCAGCUCGAGUUGGAAAAGACCUGCUGACCAUCUCAACAAGGCUUUGAUAUCACUCUGAGAAGAAGCCGGACAAACUUUGAACAAAGAUCAGACUGAGGAGUGGAUUCAGGACACUGCCUUUUAAAACUUGCUCAGAGAUGUCAGAGUCAUCCCAGAACCAUCUAAACAACCUUGAAAGUCUUCCACUGACUACUGUAACAGGAACAGGUCUUCAACAACCCGAGGAAACCUGCAGUCAAGUAAUCUGUGAGGACUCUACUGCGUCCUGCUGCAAUGACAAGUACCACAGGAAACUGGCCGUCUGUAGCAUCAUCUGCGGGUUUUCCUGCUGCGGAGUCCCAGCUUUGAUUUAUUCUGUCAAGGCUGAGGAUGCUGAAAAAGCUGAGAAGGCCGAGCCGACGACAGACAGGAGAGCUCCAGAGUAUUUAAGACAGGCCAAAAAAUGGGGCAUCAUCUCCAUCGUGACGUGGGUUUCCGUUCUAGUGUCAGCUCCAUUGCUGCUGGCACUGGGCUCAUAUCUCGCCACUUUGAUUGACUGAUCAACCUCAAAGGAGAACAGCCAGAGGAGUGUCUCUGCUGAUGUUUAAGGAGACGGACAGUGGAGAGCAGGAAGCUGCUGAAUCAAUGGCUACGAACACCAAAGCUGUGGAGAAACUACAGGUUACAUUAAAUGGAAAAAGGCUGUCUUGGUUUUUCUUACGCUGAAAUGGGUGCUGUCCUAAUUUAUACUUUUCUAGCUCCUUUAGUUUUUACACAAAGAACAAACAUCUUUCAAAAUAGUAUUAAAUGUCUAACAACUGUUUUUGUUAUAUGCUGUGAUAUUUAUUAAACCAUCUGUUGACCCGUGGACUAUACGAACGUACAUGUAUAUAUUAUAGAUUGAAGACUAAAGCUGUUAUAUAUAAUAUAAAGCUACUUAAAUGUAAAGCUGCUCCCGUAAAGACUCAAUCCUUAAUAUUCUUACAGUUAUACUUUAACUUUCUUACUGUAGAUGACUACAGAUGCUAUAUAAGUUAAUCAAUCAAUCAACAAGUCACUUUAAAAUGAGGCAACUUGUGACUUUAGGAUUGAGUCUCUACUGGAGAUAAAAUGCGAGGCAGUGAUUGGGGCAGUGCUUUAUCAGGACAUUAUGAGGUCCUGUUCUUGCUAUUUUAGUUUAUUAAUGUCAAAUGUAUAUAUAUGCUGCACUUUUAUACAAACAUUAACAAACAAUUUUAUAAUAAAAUGAGGAAACUUUUAUGGUCUUCAUCCACUUGAAACAUUUUAACAUGUACUCAUUAAAAAAACGUUGCCAUGGGAUUAUUGCAUUGUUACAAUAUUUACUUCAUUAAUGUCAAAUGUAUAUAUAUACACAUGUUGUACUUUUAUACAAGCAUUAACACAAGCUGUUUUCUAAUAAAAUGACAGAUUUUUUAUGCUUUGA